RNAcentral lists this ribosomal RNA (305 nucleotides) under uncultured bacterium. Its description in RNAcentral is "bacterial SSU rRNA". It matches the Rfam family "Bacterial small subunit ribosomal RNA", at positions 333 to 655 of the family's 1533-position model. The record is from RNAcentral.
CCAAUCCUACGGGGGGCAGCAGUGAGGGAUAUUGGUCAAUGGGGGAAACCCUGAACCAGCAACGCCGCGUGAGGGAAGACGGUUUUCGGAUUGUAAACCUCUGUCCUCUGUGAAGAUGAUGACGGUAGCAGAGGAGGAAGCUCCGGCUAACUACGUGUCAGCAGCCGCGGUAAUACGUAGGGAGCAAGCGUUGUCCGGAUUUACUGGGUGUAAAGGGUGCGUGGGCGGCUUUGCAAGUCAGAAGUGAAAUCUAUGGGCUUAACCCAUAAACUGCUUUUGAAGCUGCAGGGCUUGAGUGAAGUAGG